This is a long non-coding RNA of Penaeus indicus, 766 nucleotides long. RefSeq lists it as uncharacterized. NCBI's taxonomy places the organism in Eukaryota, Metazoa, Arthropoda, Malacostraca, Decapoda, Penaeidae. The record is from RefSeq and is a predicted model, not a curated record. The transcript is spliced from 2 exons.
AGCAAGAGAAAAAGGCUGCUAUUAUCAGUGCCGAUGGUGAUGCCACAGCUGCCACUUUACUCGCCAAGUCCUUCGGUGAGGCUGGAGAAGGUUUGGUGGAACUCAGGAGGAUUGAGGCUUCCGAGGACAUUGCUUACAGGCUGUCAAAGAACCGCAAUGUUGCCUACCUCCCCAACAACCAGAGCACCUUGUUGUCCCUUCCCCAGUGAAAGCAAGUCCAACUGAUAGCUAGUGGAGAGAGUGCAAGAUGACCAAACUAAUACAUAGGGUUUAUGAUGAACAACCAUUAAGAGCCUCCCUGAAGUGUCAAUAACUUCAAUUGCCUGAACAAUGUACCAGAUUUCCUAGCAUGAAUGGCAUUACUUGUACAAAUGAUUUUUGUUUGUGAUAUAUAUACUUACAGAGAGUAAUCAGGGAUGGUAAAGGGUAGGUUUUUUUUUUCCUGACAUAAAAUCUGCGCAUAAAUGUGUAUAAGCUUCAAGAAGAAUUCUUGUCAUUCAUGUUGCAAAAGAAAAAAAUGUAAUUAAUCUUGUCUUUCCAUGUAUAAUACUGAGGCAGCAUUGUGUUGAAGCAGUGUACAGAUAUUUCAUAUGUUAAAAGCUUUUCACAUCUGCCAAUGUAUCUUGAGAAAGCAAGUAAUUGGGGCUUACAUAUAAUUUUUCCAAGGUGAAGAGAAUGUAGAUAAAAAGUUAUGUACGUAACUGUUAAAGAAACGAAAAAGUACUAAUUGUAAUUAGGGAUUUUGUAAAGAAAUUUUACUUUGAAA